This 735-nucleotide long non-coding RNA is filed under the name Brassica rapa (field mustard). Its description in RNAcentral is "long non-coding RNA (BRAP_LNC004688)". Lineage: Eukaryota; Viridiplantae; Streptophyta; Magnoliopsida; Brassicales; Brassicaceae. The record is from RNAcentral.
UAAUUUGAGAAACGACGAAGGAAUAUUUUCAGGCGCUUGUUACCAAAAAAAUAUUUUCAGGCGCUUAUUUAUUUUUUCUCAAAGAAAAAAAAAUCUCAAGCGCCAGCUUUCGACGCGUUCGGCGUUAAGGAGAUGCAAGAGAUGACGUGCCAAGUUAUGGUACAUGUUUUUUCUCUUUAUUUAGGUCAAGGCCGCGUUCACCACGUGCUCUUUCUAGAAUGUAAUUUGUUAACAAAUUUGGUAUUAAUCAACUUUUUUUUUUUUUUUUUUUUUUUUGUAAAAGGGCAGGUAUUAAUCAACUUUAUUACCAGUUAAAUUCCUUAUCCACAUACCAACUGUAUAUAGAUAUCUUGUGAUCCACCGUAAUAUCCAAAUUAUUUGGUAAGUAGGUCUGAGUUUUCUGUAAAUCCUUUUACGAUUAACCAUAUAAUUUAUUUGUAUUCAGAACUAAAUAAUCCCUUUUUCUGUUACAAGAUUUUAAAGACUCAGUUAGGCAUGCUUUUGUCGACUAUCUUGUCUCGGUAGAAACUUUUGAUCAGGACAAUGUAAGAGUAGUGUGAAAAAUAUGGUCAAUGGAGGUUUUUAAGUGAGUCAUUUAUGUUAAAAAUGAUAAAUACAUAAGAGCAAAAUAAACGAAGAUCUCAGAAAAAAAAUUAUACUCAUGAGGGAUUAUUCGUAGUAAAGUUGUCAUCAUUAAUUACGUUUUCAUCGUAUAAUUAGUCUAGUGUUAUCUAA